AGGUGUUGUUGUUGUUGUCAUUGUCACUAUUGCCUUUGUCUUUGGACAGUGAUCCAGGAUAAAAGCCAUGAAGCUACAGGUGGAUGAGAGACCAGUUGCAGGAGUGCAAAGACCAACUACGGCCAGAGAGAGUAAUGGAUUAUCCAGAAGGAUAAAGUGCUAUUUCCUUGAUGACACUGACACUUUCAAGAAUGUGAGUGUCUUUGCAGGAGGAACAGGCUUCUUGAGGUACUGUCUUUGGAAUAAUUCACUGGAUUUUAUCAAAUAUGUGAACACAGAUUUUCAGUUAAUAUUAGAAGCUAGGCUGGAACUGAUGACUGUGGCCCCCAGGCAGUCUUUAUAAGAUCUAUCCAAAGAAGUGCAAGGAUCCUAUUGUAACAUAUGCCUUGUCUUCUUCUUUUCUCUUGGAUAUUCUCCGGAGAUUAAUGAAACUUGAAGUAUGAUGUGAAAUUGAGUUUUCCAUCCAAAAGGUCCAGCACAGCCAUAAACAUGAAGC
RNAcentral lists this long non-coding RNA (496 nucleotides) under Fukomys damarensis (Damara mole-rat). RNAcentral describes it as "lncRNA (ENSFDAG00000022463.1)". The record is from RNAcentral. Lineage: Eukaryota; Metazoa; Chordata; Mammalia; Rodentia; Bathyergidae.